AGAGUUCUUUUAAGUCUAUCCCAGGGGGAUGGGCCAGACACAGAGAUUCUUGAAAGAUGUCCAUAGGUCAUUUGGAUGCACACCAGAAUUGAUGACCAAUGUUCUGUAAUCAAAACCCCAACUACUCAUGUAGGUAAACCAUGCCAAACCCUUCAUAAAUUCAUCAUAAAAUGGGUCUGCUGAAAAGAAUUGGAGAAAUAACAAAUUAUUUUAAAAGGUCUAAUGGCAGAAUUUUCUCAAAAGGAGAAAAACAAAUGUUUAAGUAUCCCUUUUACAAGACAGUCCCAAUGAUGAGGUCAGUCAAGCAAAGUGGCAUUUUUCCUUGGAAUUCAUUGAGGUAUUCAGGUCAUAAUUGGCUGUGGGACUUGGGAAAAUGUGGGAGAAGAAACUUGGCUUUUGGAAAACAGGGAAAAAUUAUCUCAAUGCCCCAGAAGCU
This 436-nucleotide long non-coding RNA is filed under the name Pan troglodytes (chimpanzee). RNAcentral's name for it is "long non-coding RNA NONPTRT011497". The record is from RNAcentral. Lineage: Eukaryota; Metazoa; Chordata; Mammalia; Primates; Hominidae.